UAAAAGUAAUGGAAAAAACUUUUUGAAAAAUUCCGCAUCUGAAAAAAAUCCCAAAAUAUUUUGCAAAAAGUCAUGAAAUUCUAUCUUUAGUCAUAUGAAGGGGCACGACGGUGAGAAAACGUACAUUUGAAUAAAAAUAUGAAUUUUUUUGAAAUUGGAGUCAUAAGACAUUCUAACAGCAGCAGUUGACACGGUACAGUGGUGUAGUGGUUAGCACUGUCGCCUCCCAGACAGAUGCCUCGGGUUCAACUCCACCCAGUGGCGCCUCUGUGUUAGGUGGUGUAGGCUAAGCCUGCAUUGGGUUCACUCCAUACUUGUAAAAGUAAUGGAAAAAACUUUUUUUAAACUUCCACGUCUGAAAAGAAUCCCAAAAUAUUUUGCAAAAAGUCAUGAAAUUCUAUCUUUCGUCAUAUGAAGGGGCACGACGGUGAGAAAACGUACAUUUGAAUAAAAAUAUGAAUUUUUUUAAAAUUGGAGUCAUAAGACAUUCUAACGGCAGCAGUUGACACGGUACAGUGGUGUAGUGGUUAGCACUGUCGCCUCCCAGACAGAUGCCUCGGGUUCAACUCCACCCAGUGGCGCCUCUGUGUUAGGUGGUGUAGGCUAAACCUGCAUGGGGUUCACUCCAUACUUGUAAAAGUAAUGGAAAAAACUUUUUGAAAAAUUCCGCAUCUGAAAAAAAUCCCAAAAUAUUUUGCAAAAAGUCAUGAAAUUCUAUCUUUAGUCAUAUGAAGGGGCACGACGGUGAGAAAACGUACAUUUGAAUAAAAAUCUGAAUUUUUUCGAAAUUGGAGUCAUAAGACAUUCUAACGGCAGCAGUUGACACGGUACAGUGGUGUAGUGGUUAGCACUGUCGCCUCCCAGACAGAUGCCUCGGGUUCAACUCCACCCAGUGGCGCCUCUGUGUUAGGUGGUGUAGGCUAAGCCUGCAUUGGGUUCACUCCAUACUUGUAAAAGUAAUGGAAAAAACUUUUUGAAAAAUUCCGCAUCUGAAAAAAAUCCCAAAAUAUUUUGCAAAAAGUCAUGAAAUUCUAUCUUUAGUCAUAUGAAGGGGCACGACGGUGAGAAAACGUACAUUUGAAUAAAAAUAUGAUUUUUUUCGAAAUUGGAGUCAUAAGACAUUCUAACGGCAGCAGUUGACACGGUACAGUGGUGUAGUGGUUAGCACUCUCGCCUCCCAGACAGAUGCCUCGGGUUCAACUGCACCCAGUGGCGCCUCUGUGUUAGGUGGUGUAGGCUAAACCUGCAUGGGGUUCACUCCAUACUUGUAAAAGUAAUGGAAUUUUUUUAUUAGACUUCCACGUCUGAAAAGAAUCCCAAAAUAUUUUGCAAAAAGUCAUGAAAUUCUAUCUUUAGUCAUAUGAAGGGGCACGACGGUGAGAAAACGUACAUUUGAAUAAAAAUAUGAAUUUUUUCGAAAUGGGAGUCAUAAGACAUUCUAACGGCAGCAGUUGACACGGUACAGUGGUGUAGUGGUUAGCACUCUCGCCUCCCAGACAGAUGCCUCGGGUUCAACUCCACCCAGUGGUGCCUCUGUGUUAAGUGGUGUAGGCUAAGCCUGCAUGGGGUUCACUCCAUACUUGUAAAAGUAAUGGAAAAAACUUUUUUUAAACUUCCACGUCUGAAAAGAAUCCCAAAAUAUUUUGCAAAAGUCAUGAAAUUCUAUCUUUAGUCAUAUGAAGGGGCACGACGGUGAGAAAACGUACAUUUGAAUAAAAAUCUGAAUUUUUUCUAUUUGGAGUCAUAAGACAUUCUAACGGCAGCAGUUGACACGGUACAGUGGUGUAGUGGUUAGCACUCUCGCUUCCCAGACAGAUGCCUCGGGUUCAACUCCACCCAGUGGCACCUCGGUGUUAGGUGGUGUAGGCUAAGCCUGCAUGGGGUUCACUCCAUACUUGUAAAAGUAAUGGAAAAAACUUUUUUUAAACUUCCACGUCUGAAAAGAAUCCCAAAAUAUUUUGCAAAAGUCAUGAAAUUCUAUCUUUAGU
Gasterosteus aculeatus aculeatus (three-spined stickleback) is the source of this 1988-nucleotide long non-coding RNA. The record is from Ensembl. Lineage: Eukaryota; Metazoa; Chordata; Actinopteri; Perciformes; Gasterosteidae.